GGCUCCUUUCUGUAGUUAAAAAAAAGUAAUUUUAUUUAAGGAAUUGAAUAAAGGAACCUGCACUUACACACUUGUGGUUGCCUUUUCUCCCCCAUCACUGGAGUAAAGGAGCAGGUCUCUGCCCUCUUCUCCACCCCAGCUGAUGGUCCCUCUGUCCAUAGAUCUCCCCUGUCCUAGACUGGUUGUUCAUGUUUCUUGUAAUCAUCAUUAAUUCUCAUGUAGGAAAAAAAGUUUUCCUUGAUUAUUUUUCUUUCAUUCUUCAAAAUCCCAGUUGGAAUACAGAAACUCCCUGGGCCUAGGUCCACGAGAGCCACUGGACACAGCAUAGCCUUACCAGACUCAAUCAUAGGCUUUGGCCCAGUUCUGAUUCUGAAGCUUGCCAGUCACACUCCCAUCCCUGAGAACACAAGAACAUCUCAGCACUGAGAACUCAGGCUUCAACCUUGUGAAGACCAGCAGCUAUAGUUUGGAGAGAAAGGAUUGAUCUUUUUUGCCAAGGAAGAGAUCAAUUCAAUAGCUGAAAAGCCAGCAAGGACUGCAGACCUGCUGCUGCUUUGGGCUUUGACUUGGUUUGGCUUAGAGAUGUUUGCCUCUGUCUGUCAGAGAAAUGUUUCUCCUUUCCUUUUCUCUGAUGAUCCCUCACUGCAAAAGGAGAAUAGUGCCAGUGGGUUUGUAAGACACCAAGAUUCCUGCUUAUAUUGAGUUACGUUACUGAAUAGCUGCAGCAGUGCUAGUUAUCAGUGAUUUGUGCUUGCAAUCCUUUCAAUGAAAUUAAUAUUUAUAUAUUUGUAACUGUACAUUAUGCAGAGUAAUCAUUACCAUGGUAUUUAUUUUAAAGCAAUAGUUCCACUGUUCUUUCUUGUCCACAUGUUUUGCUCUUGCCUCUUUCCCUCCUCCUUAAUCAGCCUCAGUAGAAAACAAACACCAGAAAACUGUUCAGCUUGCUUGAAGAUCAUUGGAACACCAGCACUUGCUCUACUGCCAUCAACUAUUGACAUUCAAUGCACAAUAACCUGAUUUCCAUUGCUGUGAAUAGAUCAUCUGAUUAGAAAACCUCAGUUUGGGUUUAGUACUUGCUGUUUCUGACUGAGUGACACCAGCCCUGGCUACCCCAGGUCCCUGUGCUCAGUAGCUGGCCCACCCUCUGCAUGUGUAGUGCUGCACUCAUAGGAGGUAGGCUCUAGUUUUUCACCUGCAUUUUGCCCCCACACAUACAUGUACACAUAAACACUUUUGUUUUGUUCACACAAAUCUUAGCAAUCUGAGUCCAGAAAAGGGUUUGGUUUAGAUUCUGAUAAAUAUUUUAUUAAAAACUGAUUU
RNAcentral lists this long non-coding RNA (1320 nucleotides) under Strigops habroptila (Kakapo). RNAcentral describes it as "lncRNA (ENSSHBG00005018515.1)". Lineage: Eukaryota; Metazoa; Chordata; Aves; Psittaciformes; Psittacidae. The record is from RNAcentral.